RNAcentral lists this long non-coding RNA (267 nucleotides) under Lathyrus oleraceus (garden pea). RNAcentral's name for it is "Pisum sativum (pea) long non-coding RNA (PSAT_LNC007572)". Lineage: Eukaryota; Viridiplantae; Streptophyta; Magnoliopsida; Fabales; Fabaceae. The record is from RNAcentral.
UCGGUUAGCAAAAUGGUGUGAUCCUCGAGGGAAUACGGCCAGGUGUUCUCGUUGGUCGUUUCCUUGUGAGGGGGAAGGCGAUGUUUUGGCUAGAGAUAAGCCAGUGGUGUGUUAAGUAUCGUGACGUGUUCCUUAGGAUGUGCAUGAUUUGUAUUUUGUUGGAGAAAGUUGACGUUAUUCUUGGAAUGAAUUGGUUGGAGUUAAACCAAAUGUUUACCAAUUGUUUUGUUAAGUUGGUGCACUGUUCCGCUGAUUGCAAGAGCUCAG